CUUAACACAAAACAGUAGCUAAUAAAAAAAUAUAUAAAGAAAAUGAAAGAGAGGAAAAGGGCACUAUGCUCUUACGAGGCCCGGCACAGACUGUGCUCAUAAAGCCUAUUGCUACAGUGCAUAAGGCCCAGCCCGCAUUGGCCUUUUCCCCAACCUCUCACCAGAGGCAGAGUGGCCAUGGCACGUACGCCGUCCACCCGCCGAUUGCCUCGCUGUCAAGCAUCCCGCGGCCCUUUGGUGGAUAAGGAGACCGUCCCCGACGCCGCUGUCGAACCCUACCUUAUCCACUUCUUCCCCCUUGCUCUCCUCCCCGAUCUGGAGAGGCACCCGUACGCAGCCGUCGACGCCGCCUCGUUGUUGGCACGCUCCGGCACCACCCCGUCCCGCUCGAAGGCACCCAGGAGCUGCGCCUCGACGCCCUCUACCUCCACAACAACACUCUCGAGCAGGGACGUACUGUACAGUCGCCAUCGAGCUCAUCUCCGCGUACAUCAUGGCCGUCCGCCGUCGUUUGCCGCUAAUCCAGUCCAUCCCCGGCCGCCCCGACCACGUCCCCGAGUCCACUAUCCCGAGACCGCUGCCGGUACCCCUGUGAUCGCCUACAUCGACGACGAACCCUUCUUACCAGAGCAACCAGGCAAGCCCCCCCCCCCC
This is an RNA transcript of Triticum aestivum (bread wheat), 654 nucleotides long. RefSeq lists it as uncharacterized. The record is from RefSeq and is a predicted model, not a curated record. The transcript has 2 exons. Lineage: Eukaryota; Viridiplantae; Streptophyta; Magnoliopsida; Poales; Poaceae.